Molecule: transfer RNA, 73 nt
Filed under: Treponema sp.
Lineage: Bacteria; Pseudomonadati; Spirochaetota; Spirochaetia; Treponematales; Treponemataceae
Description: tRNA-Gln
Rfam family: tRNA
About the family: Transfer RNA (tRNA) molecules are approximately 80 nucleotides in length. Their secondary structure includes four short double-helical elements and three loops (D, anti-codon, and T loops).
Source: RNAcentral
UGAGCCGUCGUCAAGUGGUAAGACACUGGUUUUUGGUACCAGCAUUCCGCAGGUUCGAAUCCUGCCGGCUCAG